This 261-nucleotide ribosomal RNA is filed under the name uncultured bacterium. Its description in RNAcentral is "partial 16S ribosomal RNA". It matches the Rfam family "Bacterial small subunit ribosomal RNA", at positions 793 to 1055 of the family's 1533-position model. The record is from RNAcentral.
GUCCACGCAGUAAACGAUGAAUGCUGGUUGUCCGGACCGACUGAGGUCUGGGCGGCGAAGCGAAAGCGAUAAGCAUUCCACCUGGGGAGUACGCCGGCAACGGUUAAACUCAAAGGAAUUGACGGGGGCCCGCACAAGCGGAGGAACAUGUGGUUUAAUUCGAUGAUACGCGAGGAACCUUACCCGGGCUCAAACGGGAGCGGAAUUGACCAGAGACGGUCAAGCCUACGGGCCGCUUCCGAGGUGCUGCAUGGUUGUCGU